AUCAAAUCUUCUAAUACGUGUGACCCUAUAGGUUUGAACCUAAGCCGAUAGUAUAAGAAUAACUUUCUAUACCAAUCGAUGUAACCAUCUAGCAACGAUGACUCGACAACCGGAUGGAUCGAAGUGUUGCAAAGCAACCUUCUAGAACCUACUAGCGCAUGGUUACCAUAUAAUUCAUCCCUUUGAUCCAAAUGCUCAAGGUGACUUAGAAUUUAACUGUGAAUCUUAAUUAAGUCAACCACAU
Molecule: long non-coding RNA, 244 nt
Filed under: Elaeis guineensis (African oil palm)
Lineage: Eukaryota; Viridiplantae; Streptophyta; Magnoliopsida; Arecales; Arecaceae
Description: long non-coding RNA (EGUI_LNC071369)
Source: RNAcentral